RNAcentral lists this ribosomal RNA (471 nucleotides) under uncultured Propionivibrio sp. Its description in RNAcentral is "bacterial SSU rRNA". It matches the Rfam family "Bacterial small subunit ribosomal RNA", at positions 335 to 798 of the family's 1533-position model. The record is from RNAcentral. Lineage: Bacteria; Pseudomonadati; Pseudomonadota; Betaproteobacteria; Rhodocyclales; Rhodocyclaceae.
UGACCUACGGGUGGCUGCAGUGGGGAAUUUUGGACAAUGGGCGCAAGCCUGAUCCAGCCAUGCCGCGUGAGUGAAGAAGGCCUUCGGGUUGUAAAGCUCUUUCGGUGGGGAAGAAAUUGCACUUGAUAAUACCGAGUGUAGAUGACGGUACCCGCAUAAGAAGCACCGGCUAACUACGUGCCAGCAGCCGCGGUAAUACGUAGGGUGCGAGCGGUAAUCGGAAUUACUGGGCGUAAAGCGUGCGCAGGUGGUUGGGUAAGUCAGAGGUGAAAUCCCCGGGCGCAACCGGGGAACUGCAUUUGAGACUGCACGGCUAGAGGAUGGCAGAGGGGGGUAGAAUUCCACGUGUAGCAGUGAAAUGCGUAGAGAUGUGGAGGAAUACCGAUGGCGAAGGCAGCCCCCUGGGCUAUUACUGACACUCAUGCACGAAAGCGUGGGGAGCAAACAGGAUUAGAUACCCUGGUAGUCGUC